CAGCCGCCGCGGUAAUACAGAGGGUGCGAGCGUUAAUCGGAUUUACUGGGCGUAAAGCGUGCGUAGGCGGCUUUUUAAGUCGGAUGUGAAUUCCCUGAGCUUAACUUAGGAAUUGCAUUCGAUACUGGGAAGCUAGAGUAUGGGAGAGGAUGGUAGAAUUCCAGGUGUAGCGGUGAAAUGCGUAGAGAUCUGGAGGAAUACCGAUGGCGAAGGCAGCCAUCUGGCCUAAUACUGACGCUGAGGUACGAAAGCAUGGGGAGCAAACAGGAUUAGAUACCCGCGUAGUCCCUGUCUCUUAUAC
This 301-nucleotide ribosomal RNA is filed under the name uncultured bacterium. RNAcentral describes it as "partial 16S ribosomal RNA". It matches the Rfam family "Bacterial small subunit ribosomal RNA", at positions 509 to 807 of the family's 1533-position model. The record is from RNAcentral.